RNAcentral lists this long non-coding RNA (1528 nucleotides) under Monodelphis domestica (gray short-tailed opossum). RNAcentral describes it as "lncRNA (ENSMODG00000050566.1)". Lineage: Eukaryota; Metazoa; Chordata; Mammalia; Didelphimorphia; Didelphidae. The record is from RNAcentral.
ACAUGUAAUUUAUAGAGAAGUGAACAGGGUGGUCAAGGAGCCCUUUUCAGUGCUGUUCAUCUUUUUUGAUGUCCACCUAAUUGUCAUUUGUGGCUUCCAGGAUCUGUAGCAUGUGCAUCAAUCACAUCCCUCUAAACCGUUUCAGCUGAUAGGCUAAACCAGGUUGAGGGUAAUCAGCAGAUUUCAAAUUCAUUAGUGAGUUAAGAGAGUGUCUACCCCAGACACGUGAGGACGUUCCCUAGUGAAAGGAGUGUAUAAAUUUGUUUCAAGGACCUUGAUGUGUGACAGAGGCUGCCACUAAAGAAAAAGUGCCAGGCUGAAGAGUGUGUGAAAUUGAUCACCUCAAUGGGAGAGGGACCCCAAGAGUGGAAUCUGGAGGAGGAGAAGACUCUGGCUGGUAGAGGAGGGGUCUUGGUCUUGGGAAGCAGAUGUCAGAAGAAGUGUUCCAAGAAGGAGCCCUGAGACCUUACCUUUGGUGGAUGGAGAACUGACAUUUCAGGAUCCAUACUUUGAGACAUAAUUGAAUUGGACCAGAGACUACAGCUCCAACUGUCCUUUAUAAUGCAGUUGAGGAAAGACUCUUUGAAUUCACUUUGGAAGAACCUAUGGCAAUUUUCACUCUUCCAAUUUUAUUCUUGAAAAGGUUUUAUUGGCAUCUAUUACUGGGGUAGUUGUCAUGUGCUGAAUAUGAGGCAGUGGGAAAGACUACUCUAGGAAAUGCCUAGGGUUUUUUCUUUUUUUUAUUAACAGCUCAGUAUCCUCUAACAUUCCUUUUAAAACCUCUUUAUACGGUCUAAUAUGAGACCGUAUAAACAUCCUUUAAAAAUUCCAGGGUUGUGACAACAACUCCUACAAGUGAUUAUCCAGUUUCUACUCAAGGGAGAUGUUUCCAGGUACAUUGGAUAGAGCACUAAGCCUAGUCAUCUUCCUGAAUUUAAAACCAACCUCAGAUACUAAGUAGUGGGCAGACCACUUACACCUAUUUGCCUCAGUUUUCUCAUCUGCAAAAUGAGCUGGAGAAGGAAAAGACAAAUCUCUCUAGUAUCUCUACCAAGAAAACCCCAAAUGGUGUUGUGAGAAGUCAGACAUGACUGGAAAACAACUGAACAAUUCCAGUGGAAGAGAAUUCCCUUGAUUCCUGAAGGAGUCCAUUGAAUUUUGGGAAAUCUCUUUCUUAUAGCUGUAACUGUCACUUAAUUGAUCCUAACUCUUGUCCUCUGUAGACAAGUAAAAUUAAAUUUCUCUAUUUAAAAAUGAAGAUCUUCUAUCUAUCUAUCUAUCUAUCUAUCUAUCUAUCUAUCUAUCCCUUUUAAGUCUUCCCUAAUUUAAGAUAAGCACUCCUACUUUCUUCAGUGGAUCCUUAUAGCUAUUGCUUCAAGUUCCUUGUAAAUCCUUAUUCUCCCACUAUUGAGACAUUCCAAUUGAUUAACAUCCUUCCUAAAAAGAAACUCCUGGUACUGAAAACAGAAUUAAAGUACCUUAAACUUAUUGAGUGUUUUUAAAUAAAAAAGUUAUUUUUACUGUUUCA